UACGAGUGCCCCAAGCGUUAUCCGGAGUCAUUGGGCGUAAAGGGUGUGUAGGUGGCUUCGUUAGUCUUUUGUUAAAUUUCCCGGCUUAACCGGGAACUUGCGAGGGAAACGGCGAGGCUCGAGGAUGCGAGGGGUGAAUGGAACUCAUGGAGUAGGGGUGAAAUCCGUUGAUAUCAUGGGGAACACCAAAAGCGAAGGCAAUUCACUGGCGCAUUCCUGACACUGAGACACGAAAGCGUGGGUAGCGAACGGG
RNAcentral lists this unclassified non-coding RNA (253 nucleotides) under uncultured Parcubacteria group bacterium. Its description in RNAcentral is "contains 16S-23S intergenic spacer region". It matches the Rfam family "Bacterial small subunit ribosomal RNA", at positions 524 to 776 of the family's 1533-position model. The record is from RNAcentral.